UAUUUACUUGACCACGGUGGCAUACACCUGGUUAGCUUAUUAGAGCUAGUGACAUAGUGUAACAAAUUGAUUUUGCAAACUCUUUUGAUCUACUUCUAAGUAAAUUACCGGGGGUCAGAGCUAGCAGAACCUAUCCCUCAUGUGCAGGUUUUACCUACUUUCAAAAUUCAAGCACUUGCUUACAAUUAUGGGGUUAAUUUAUUUGGAAAUCUGAGUAGCAAUAUGACUACAGUCAAUUGCAGUGGCAGGGUGUUGAAAAUAAAUAGUAAUGAAUUUUGUUCUUAUUUUAGAGUGAGAAUUCAAAGUAAGCCAUUCUAUUGGCAUCUCUGCUGCAAUUAGUUCAAUGCAUGGCAACAAUAAGUUUGGUCAGUUGUGUGAAUAGUGUACGCAAUUGAGAGUCAUGUUCUUGCUCAAGUUAAGAAUUUUUUGUGCAUAGUUUUGGCAUUAAGGAAGCUACUCAACUCUGAUAGUAAUGCUGUUGAAGGAUCCUCACUAAUUAUAACUAUUUGCAUGUAUAUAUAUUUUAUAGGACAUGGGAUGGACGUUGCACAUUAAUAGCAGGAAAGUUAGAACUUUUUUUGUGUUAUGGGUUCUAUAAAUGUGUAAGGAAGCUCCAGGAUCUUUGUGUGUGGUGUGAUGUUAGGUUUUUAUAUGGGUCAUAUUGCUUAAUUUAUUAUCAUACAACUCUCUGUUUUGAUGUUAUGCUUUUGUAAUCAUACUUCUAAAUGCAAAUGUUAAUUAUAAUUG
Glycine soja is the source of this 747-nucleotide long non-coding RNA. RefSeq lists it as uncharacterized. The transcript has 3 exons. The record is from RefSeq and is a predicted model, not a curated record. Lineage: Eukaryota; Viridiplantae; Streptophyta; Magnoliopsida; Fabales; Fabaceae.